UACGGGGGAGCAAGCGUUGUUCGGAUUUACUGGGCGUAAAGGGCGCGGUAGGCGGCGUGACAAGUCACUUGUGAAAUCUCCGGGCUUAACUCGGAACGGUCAAGUGAUACUGUCGUGCUAGAGUACAGAAGGGCAACUGGAAUUCUCGGUGUAGCGGUGAAAUGCGUAGAUAUCGAGAGGAACACCUGCGGCGAAGGCGGUGCUGGGCUGACACUGACGCUGAUGCGCGAAAGCUAGGGGAGCGAACGGG
RNAcentral lists this ribosomal RNA (250 nucleotides) under uncultured bacterium. Its description in RNAcentral is "partial 16S ribosomal RNA". It matches the Rfam family "Bacterial small subunit ribosomal RNA", at positions 524 to 776 of the family's 1533-position model. The record is from RNAcentral.